CCUACGGGGGGCAGCAGUGAGGAAUAUUGGUCAAUGGUCGGGAGACUGAACCAGCCAAGCCGCGUGAGGGAGGAAGGUACAGAGUAUCGUAAACCUCUUUUGUCAGGGAACAAAGACUGGGACGCGUCCCCGGAUGAGUGUACCUGAAGAAAAAGCAUCGGCUAACUCCGUGCCAGCAGCCGCGGUAAUACGGAGGAUGCGAGCGUUAUCCGGUUUUAUGGGGUUUAAAGGGUGCGAAGGCGGUCUGUUAAGUCAGCGGUCAAAGCCCGGGGCUCAACCCCGGCCCGCCGUUGAAACUGGCAGGCUCGAGUGGGAGAGAAGUAGGCGGAAUGCGCGGUGUAGCGGUGAAAUGCAUAGAUAUCGCGCAGAACUCCGAUUGCGAAGGCAGCAUGCCGGCUCCACACUGACGCUGAGGCACGAAAGCGUGGGUAUCGAACAGGAUUAGAUACCCUUGUAGUC
This 459-nucleotide ribosomal RNA is filed under the name uncultured bacterium. Its description in RNAcentral is "partial 16S ribosomal RNA". It matches the Rfam family "Bacterial small subunit ribosomal RNA", at positions 338 to 795 of the family's 1533-position model. The record is from RNAcentral.